This 2926-nucleotide ribosomal RNA is filed under the name Escherichia coli. Its description in RNAcentral is "bacterial LSU rRNA". It matches the Rfam family "Bacterial large subunit ribosomal RNA". Lineage: Bacteria; Pseudomonadati; Pseudomonadota; Gammaproteobacteria; Enterobacterales; Enterobacteriaceae. The record is from RNAcentral. RNAcentral also lists the same sequence under 1 other name.
GGGUUGUGAGGUUAAGCGACUAAGCGUACACGGUGGAUGCCCUGGCAGUCAGAGGCGAUGAAGGACGUGCUAAUCUGCGAUAAGCGUCGGUGAGGUGAUAUGAACCGUUAUAACCGGCGAUUUCCGAAUGGGGAAACCCAGUGUGUUUCGACACACUAUCAUUAACUGAAUCCAUAGGUUAAUGAGGCGAACCGGGGGAACUGAAACAUCUAAGUACCCCGAGGAAAAGAAAUCAACCGAGAUUCCCCCAGUAGCGGCGAGCGAACGGGGAGGAGCCCAGAGCCUGAAUCAGUGUGUGUGUUAGUGGAAGCGUCUGGAAAGGCGCGCGAUACAGGGUGACAGCCCCGUACACAAAAAUGCACAUGCUGUGAGCUCGAUGAGUAGGGCGGGACACGUGGUAUCCUGUCUGAAUAUGGGGGGACCAUCCUCCAAGGCUAAAUACUCCUGACUGACCGAUAGUGAACCAGUACCGUGAGGGAAAGGCGAAAAGAACCCCGGCGAGGGGAGUGAAAAAGAACCUGAAACCGUGUACGUACAAGCAGUGGGAGCCUCUUAAUGGGGUGACUGCGUACCUUUUGUAUAAUGGGUCAGCGACUUAUAUUCUGUAGCAAGGUUAACCGAAUAGGGGAGCCGAAGGGAAACCGAGUCUUAACUGGGCGUUAAGUUGCAGGGUAUAGACCCGAAACCCGGUGAUCUAGCCAUGGGCAGGUUGAAGGUUGGGUAACACUAACUGGAGGACCGAACCGACUAAUGUUGAAAAAUUAGCGGAUGACUUGUGGCUGGGGGUGAAAGGCCAAUCAAACCGGGAGAUAGCUGGUUCUCCCCGAAAGCUAUUUAGGUAGCGCCUCGUGAAUUCAUCUCCGGGGGUAGAGCACUGUUUCGGCAAGGGGGUCAUCCCGACUUACCAACCCGAUGCAAACUGCGAAUACCGGAGAAUGUUAUCACGGGAGACACACGGCGGGUGCUAACGUCCGUCGUGAAGAGGGAAACAACCCAGACCGCCAGCUAAGGUCCCAAAGUCAUGGUUAAGUGGGAAACGAUGUGGGAAGGCCCAGACAGCCAGGAUGUUGGCUUAGAAGCAGCCAUCAUUUAAAGAAAGCGUAAUAGCUCACUGGUCGAGUCGGCCUGCGCGGAAGAUGUAACGGGGCUAAACCAUGCACCGAAGCUGCGGCAGCGACGCUUAUGCGUUGUUGGGUAGGGGAGCGUUCUGUAAGCCUGUGAAGGUGGCCUGUGAGGGUUGCUGGAGGUAUCAGAAGUGCGAAUGCUGACAUAAGUAACGAUAAAGCGGGUGAAAAGCCCGCUCGCCGGAAGACCAAGGGUUCCUGUCCAACGUUAAUCGGGGCAGGGUGAGUCGACCCCUAAGGCGAGGCCGAAAGGCGUAGUCGAUGGGAAACAGGUUAAUAUUCCUGUACUUGGUGUUACUGCGAAGGGGGGACGGAGAAGGCUAUGUUGGCCGGGCGACGGUUGUCCCGGUUUAAGCGUGUAGGCUGGUUUUCCAGGCAAAUCCGGAAAAUCAAGGCUGAGGCGUGAUGACGAGGCACUACGGUGCUGAAGCGACAAAUGCCCUGCUUCCAGGAAAAGCCUCUAAGCAUCAGGUAACAUCAAAUCGUACCCCAAACCGACACAGGUGGUCAGGUAGAGAAUACCAAGGCGCUUGAGAGAACUCGGGUGAAGGAACUAGGCAAAAUGGUGCCGUAACUUCGGGAGAAGGCACGCUGAUAUGUAGGUGAAGCGACUUGCUCGUGGAGCUGAAAUCAGUCGAAGAUACCAGCUGGCUGCAACUGUUUAUUAAAAACACAGCACUGUGCAAACACGAAAGUGGACGUAUACGGUGUGACGCCUGCCCGGUGCCGGAAGGUUAAUUGAUGGGGUUAGCGGCAACGCGAAGCUCUUGAUCGAAGCCCCGGUAAACGGCGGCCGUAACUAUAACGGUCCUAAGGUAGCGAAAUUCCUUGUCGGGUAAGUUCCGACCUGCACGAAUGGCGUAAUGAUGGCCAGGCUGUCUCCACCCGAGACUCAGUGAAAUUGAACUCGCUGUGAAGAUGCAGUGUACCCGCGGCAAGACGGAAAGACCCCGUGAACCUUUACUAUAGCUUGACACUGAACAUUGAGCCUUGAUGUGUAGGAUAGGUGGGAGGCUUUGAAGUGUGGACGCCAGUCUGCAUGGAGCCGACCUUGAAAUACCACCCUUUAAUGUUUGAUGUUCUAACGUUGGCCCGUAAUCCGGGUUGCGGACAGUGUCUGGUGGGUAGUUUGACUGGGGCGGUCUCCUCCUAAAGAGUAACGGAGGAGCACGAAGGUUGGCUAAUCCUGGUCGGACAUCAGGAGGUUAGUGCAAUGGCAUAAGCCAGCUUGACUGCGAGCGUGACGGCGCGAGCAGGUGCGAAAGCAGGUCAUAGUGAUCCGGUGGUUCUGAAUGGAAGGGCCAUCGCUCAACGGAUAAAAGGUACUCCGGGGAUAACAGGCUGAUACCGCCCAAGAGUUCAUAUCGACGGCGGUGUUUGGCACCUCGAUGUCGGCUCAUCACAUCCUGGGGCUGAAGUAGGUCCCAAGGGUAUGGCUGUUCGCCAUUUAAAGUGGUACGCGAGCUGGGUUUAGAACGUCGUGAGACAGUUCGGUCCCUAUCUGCCGUGGGCGCUGGAGAACUGAGGGGGGCUGCUCCUAGUACGAGAGGACCGGAGUGGACGCAUCACUGGUGUUCGGGUUGUCAUGCCAAUGGCACUGCCCGGUAGCUAAAUGCGGAAGAGAUAAGUGCUGAAAGCAUCUAAGCACGAAACUUGCCCCGAGAUGAGUUCUCCCUGAGACUUAGAGUCUCCUGAAGGAACGUUGAAGACGACGACGUUGAUAGGCCGGGUGUGUAAGCGCAGCGAUGCGUUGAGCUAACCGGUACUAAUGAACCGUGAGGCUUAACCUUACAACGCCGAAG